GAUGAACGCUGGCGGCGUGCCUAAUACAUGCAAGUCGAGCGAACAGACGAGGAGCCUGCUCCUCUGACGUUAGCGGCGGACGGGUGAGUAACACGUGGAUAACCUACCUAUAAGACUGGGAUAACUUCGGGAAACCGGAGCUAAUACCGGAUAAUAUAUUGAACCGCAUGGUUCAAUAGUGAAAGACGGUUUUGCUGUCACUUAUAGAUGGAUCCGCGCCGCAUUAGCUAGUUGGUAAGGUAACGGCUUACCAAGGCAACGAUGCGUAGCCGACCUGAGAGGGGGAUCGGCCACACUGGAGCUGAGACACGGUCCAGGCACCGACGGGAGGCAGCAGUAGGGAAUCUUCCGCGAUGGGCGAAAGCCUGACGGAGCAACGCCGCGUGAGUGAUGAAGGGCUUCGGAUCGUAAAACUCUGUUAUUAGGGAAGAACAAAUGUGUAGUAACUAUGCACGUCUUGACGGUACCUAAUCAGAAAGCCACGGCUAACUACGUG
This 496-nucleotide ribosomal RNA is filed under the name uncultured bacterium. RNAcentral describes it as "partial 16S ribosomal RNA". It matches the Rfam family "Bacterial small subunit ribosomal RNA", at positions 28 to 507 of the family's 1533-position model. The record is from RNAcentral.